CGCCUCUGCGCUAGAUCCCGUCCCACGUGGAGACUAGGCGGGCGCGCGCACACAACGGCAUCUGUCCCCGUGGCGUACCCAUCAGGCCUCCUUGCGAAGACGUGACCUUGACCUGACGUACAGCAAGACACGAUCUCAUGUAUAUCUGCCAGAUCCCUACCUGUCUGAUAAUUCAGCAGCGUGUUUCCCUGAAAAUUCUUGAAAGGAUUGUUCAACUCAGAUACUAGUGAAUGAAGAAGGUUUAAAAACGAAGAAGGAAAAUGCCGGAAGCCAAGACAGAAAAUAGUACGGAGACUUGAUUUAGGUUGAAGAUGAGGAAAGGCCCCCGUGAGGAUGGGACGUUUUGGCUGGUACCUAAAGGAGAAGUGGGAGACAGCCAGAUCAGUCCCUGCGGGAGAACGGGGAGGGAUUUGGGAUUUGGCUGAGGCAUAAGUCCAGGUGCAACACACACCAACAGCAGCUUUGCCUGACCACACGGGGUGAGGCAAAAUGGUCUGUCAGAACUGUCUCCUAACGGGCCAGAAUGGUUGGACCUUUAUAACCUUCCCUCCAUCACAGCAGUCAUUGAAAUGUAAGCCACUGUGGUGAGGGUGUGACCUGGGGCAGGUGGCUCUGCAGCCCAUGCAUCCCUGAGGACACCGACAGCUGAAGGCUCUCUGCUAAGAGCAUUCCCUGCAGCUGAGGCAACAUGCCCUUCCUUGACGGGGGUCUGGGGGGCACAUCUUCGUGUCCGUCACAAUGCUCAAUAUUAUAAUAAGCUUUCAAAAAUCAAUAACAAGCAAAAUAAUCCAGUAACAAAUAGAGUAGAAGACAAAAGUAGGCAAUUCAUGGAUAACUCACAAGUUAUCAAUAGAUACAUAAAAAUACACUCAGCCCUUCUUAGCAAUAAGGAACAUGCAAACUAGAACGAGCAGCCUUUUGGUUUUGUUAUCCUUGCAUUGGCAAAAAUUUAAUGACUGAUGGUCCUACAGCAGAUGAAAGUGCAGUUGUUCCGCUGCUCAUCCUGGGAUUCCUGGACAACAUCCCUCCCCAUGUGAUGGGGCUUCCUCCGUGAAGGAGCAUCCUGUUAGUGUACGGGAGUUUGCAGUAGCCAAGGGGAAUUUCCACGCUGGGGGUUGGGGGUGAAUUAAACUAUUAAAUAGACUGGUUCAUGUGACUGUCUCCACAGCCCACGGGAAAAGCAAGCAGAAAAUUCUACAGGAGUUUGUCAUAAAUACAUUUCAGUUUCUAGUCUUCUAUUCUGGAGGUCAGCUGUUUCUGAGAGAGGAGUCAUAAUUUUCGUUUGUUGCCCAGGAAAGACCUUACCUGUGCUUAGCUAUAUGCUAAUAAAUGCAGAGAAACAUCUGGAAGGUCAUCUCGGAAGCUUACUUCUGUGUUAUUUUGUCUUUUAAAAAGGCUUUAGAUGAUCUUCCAGCAAAAGUGAUGCCUUCCACUGUAGCCAAGCAUCUUCUUAGCUCUCUGAGCUAAGCGCUUUCAGAGCUCCAUUCCAAGCCCACGUGGACGUCUCUUCUUUAUGAGCCUGAGACACUCGUUAAGGAUCGUCACUCUAACUCCCUGCCCUCCAAACAGAAUUUAGACAGAAAGAAAGCCAGAGAGGAAGAUCGGAUGAAACAGUCCACUCUGGGUGGGUCACAGUGAGCAAGAAGGAGAGCGGUAGACAGAUCCUUAGAGCCUAUGGCACAUUGUCAGGAUUUUUGAAUUUAUCCUACACACAGUGGGAACAAGGCGUUCUCAGCACGGAGUGCCGUGAUUCAAUUUCUGUUUUGUACCUGUCACUGUGGUUGGAGUGUGGCCAAUCAAUGGGCAGGGGCUAGUAUGGCGUGAUCUCUAUCUUUGAGCACCAAUUAAGAAAAAAUUUAAAUGUUUCUGUACUUUUUUUUAAAAACUAAAUGUUAACAUCGUUUUAAAAUUUUUAUUAGAAAACCAAUAUCUGCUACUAUGUAUAAGCAUGUUUUGGUUAUUUUUCAGUUAUUGAAGAGUUUCUCUUUUGUUACAAAAUAUCAAAAUUAUCUGACAUCUGCUCUGUGGUGCCUGGUGUGAUGCAGCACAUUUGAACAAACUUUGUAGCUGAGAAGACACUUCUAAAGCCAGUUUAUUGUGACUUUCUUGACUUACCUUCUAAGCUACUUAAUUCUAAGAUACAAUUUUUCCCAUAGAGACAAUUUUAUAUUCUUUAAGAUAAAGGAAUUUUCCAUUGCAAACAAGAUAAAUCGUAAUGCGUCUAACACAAAGAAUGCCUUAAUUAACAUACUUGGAAUCAAAAGACUUUCGUCGCAGAAGCCAUAGUUGGAGCUAUAAAUUUUAUGAAAUAAGUGACUCUCCUUAGCCCCACCUGAGUCUCCGGUGAGAAGCCCCCAAGGAGAGGUGUCCUAGUGCUUAGGAUCUGUGCUCUGAGGGCCCGAAGCAGGGAGCAGCCAUUACACGUCCAUUCAUGCUGUAGAAGCCAGCUGCCUUUGUCAGAGAUUCACGCGUCCUGUGUGCACCAGCCCUUCUUGUGUAAGACCAGUCAGGGCUCACAGUCAGGCCGAUGCCAACAAGAGAUCCUCCUUAUCCACUGGAUGAGCCGAAAUUAGGUGGAGGCCUUGCCCACAAAGUCAGCAGACCAUCAGCCACCUACGACUCGGGUUGGUGUUCACUGCCUCUCAGGGUUGAGAAGAAAUGGGUGGACAUGCAGUGGUCACUAGUGACCUUUGAGGACUGUCUGCAAUCAGCUAGAACGUUAACCCAGUGCCUCUUUCUAGUCUAUAUUUGUAAAAGCUCUGACCCACUGCUAGUGUGUAUACUUAUAAAAUGCAUCUGCCCUAUUAUGAGUGAUACAAAAUAUAUCACUUAUGGGCAAUAUUAUUCAUGAUGUAUAAUUUUAUUUUUUUAUCUUUUUCUUUUGCACUUUCUAUCUUUUAAAACUUUUUUUCUAAGCUUUACUCCAUGUGAAAAUAAUGCCACAAUUACCUACCUAGUCUGCUCAG
This is a long non-coding RNA of Equus quagga, 2966 nucleotides long. RefSeq lists it as uncharacterized. The transcript is spliced from 3 exons. NCBI's taxonomy places the organism in Eukaryota, Metazoa, Chordata, Mammalia, Perissodactyla, Equidae. The record is from RefSeq and is a predicted model, not a curated record.